Molecule: long non-coding RNA, 208 nt
Filed under: Capsicum annuum
Lineage: Eukaryota; Viridiplantae; Streptophyta; Magnoliopsida; Solanales; Solanaceae
Description: long non-coding RNA (CANN_LNC011436)
Source: RNAcentral
UCUUUAGUUUUUUUUUUUUUUUAAAUCACCCGGUGUUCGAUACCCGCUUUUUAGGAAUCCGAUUAUAUUUGAAUUCGCCCUGCGUCGGACCUUAUUUGGGAAAAAGAGCUCCCAACAGAGUGUUUGUCCAUACCCAGAGGUCCAUACCCAGAGUCGAACCUUCGAUCUCUGGGUAGAGAUAGACCAAUCCCUUACCAUUGGACUACCA